Molecule: ribosomal RNA, 497 nt
Filed under: uncultured bacterium
Lineage: Bacteria
Description: partial 16S ribosomal RNA
Rfam family: Bacterial small subunit ribosomal RNA
Source: RNAcentral
GAUGAACGCUGGCGGCGUGCCUAAUACAUGCAAGUCGAGCGAACAGACGAGGAGCUUGCUCCUCUGACGUUAGCGGCGGACGGGUGAGUAACACGUGGAUAACCUACCUAUAAGACUGGGAUAACUUCGGGAAACCGGAGCUAAUACCGGAUAAUAUAUUGAACCGCAUGGUUCAAUAGUGAAAGACGGUUUUGCUGUCACUUAUAGAUGGAUCCGCGCCGCAUUAGCUAGUUGGUAAGGUAACGGCUUACCAAGGCAACGAUGCGUAGCCGACCUGAGAGGGUGAUCGGCCACACUAGAACUGAGACACGGUCCAGACUCCUACGGGAGGCAGCAGUAGGGAAUCUUCCGCAAUGGGCGAAAGCCUGACGGAGCAACGCCGCGUGAGUGAUGAAGGUCUUCGGGUCGUAAAACUCUGUUAUUAGGGAAGAACAAAUGUGUAAGUAACUAUGCACGUCUUGACGGUACCUAAUCAGAAAGCCACGGCUAACUACGUG